ACUUUAAUUGAAGAGUUUGAUCAUGGCUCAGAUUGAACGCUGGCGGCAGGCCUAACACAUGCAAGUCGAGCGGUAACAGAAAGAAAGCUUGCUUUCUUUGCUGACGAGCGGCGGACGGGUGAGUAAUGCCUGGGAAUAUACCCUGAUGUGGGGGAUAACUAUUGGAAACGAUAGCUAAUACCGCAUAAUCUCUUCGGAGCAAAGAGGGGGACCUUCGGGCCUC
RNAcentral lists this ribosomal RNA (223 nucleotides) under Photobacterium phosphoreum. RNAcentral describes it as "partial 16S ribosomal RNA". It matches the Rfam family "Bacterial small subunit ribosomal RNA", at positions 1 to 216 of the family's 1533-position model. Lineage: Bacteria; Pseudomonadati; Pseudomonadota; Gammaproteobacteria; Vibrionales; Vibrionaceae. The record is from RNAcentral. RNAcentral also lists the same sequence under 1 other name.